ACGCAUCUCUGACAGCCCUGGAGCAGUUCACGUCUGCUGCUAAGGUUUCCACUACAGAUGCAAGAAAAAGAAGGUCCUCCGGUUUUCUGUCUGGUUGUGGCAGCCGAGAUUAAAUGGGGGAAUACAGGA
This 129-nucleotide small nucleolar RNA is filed under the name Dasypus novemcinctus (nine-banded armadillo). RNAcentral describes it as "Small nucleolar RNA SNORA31 (ENSDNOG00000047440.1)". It matches the Rfam family "Small nucleolar RNA SNORA31". From Rfam's summary of the family: ACA31 (SNORA31) belongs to the H/ACA class of snoRNAs which are thought to guide the sites of modification of uridines to pseudouridines. ACA31 is predicted to guide the pseudouridylation of U3713 in 28S rRNA and U218 in 18S rRNA. The record is from RNAcentral. Lineage: Eukaryota; Metazoa; Chordata; Mammalia; Cingulata; Dasypodidae.